This 261-nucleotide ribosomal RNA is filed under the name uncultured bacterium. RNAcentral describes it as "partial 16S ribosomal RNA". It matches the Rfam family "Bacterial small subunit ribosomal RNA", at positions 793 to 1055 of the family's 1533-position model. The record is from RNAcentral.
GUCCACGCAGUAAACGAUGAUGACUAACUGCCGGCGAUAGACAGUCGGUGGCCAAGCGAAAGCGAUAAGUCAUCCACCUGGGGAGUACGACCGCAAGGUUGAAACUCAAAGGAAUUGACGGGGGCCCGCACAAGCGGAGGAACAUGUGGUUUAAUUCGAUGAUACGCGAGGAACCUUACCCGGGCUCGAACGGUACGGUGAAUGAUGUAGAGAUAUGUCAGACCGCAAGGACACUGUAUCGAGGUGCUGCAUGGUUGUCGU